UGGCAUGCAUAGGGGUAAUGUAAAGGGCUUAACUUUUGGAGAUGCUGAUUCUACUAUGCGUUUCAUCUGUGCACUGUGGGACUGAGAUCUAUAAAAGAGCAGGAUUAGAAACGGUCUACUCAUUUUUGCACAGAGGAGCAUACGUUUAUGAUGCUUCCUCAUUUGCAGCGCGUGCACCUGCGGUUAGGCGGGGAGGCUGUUAGCAUCACCGCGCGCGUGCAGUCUUUUAAUUCUACUUUAUUCUUCUUCUCAUUGUUAUCAUGAUCAUUUCUUAAAAAGAAUCUGAUGUCAUUUGGCCUCGCUAGUUCUGUAUUCACGCCUCCGAUCACGCAAAGCACAGUCAAUAUUCCACGCCUUUUCCACUACAUAAACUGCAUCACGGAAUUAUUAUGCACCGCGCGUGCUGUUUACUUUAGUGCCAACUUCACUAUCAUCACCGCUUAUCUACCGAUACGUUACCGAGAAAUGACAUAAACGAUACAAAAAUGCAUGAAAAUCAGCUUUAAAACUGUCUCCGCACUCAGCAUUUUUCCAGAAGAGAGAGAGAGAGAGAAGGAGGACAAGACAUUCCACCCUGCCAUUUAUUAGCCAAAGUGGAUUAAUGGUACACACCUGCUUUCCUGUACACAGCGUCACUGUAUUAGCUGGCGCAAAACGCAGCAAAAAUCCACCGAACAGCGACCGAGGCUCUCUUGGGGGAUGUGUGUGGGAGGGGAGGGGGGCGGCUUGGGCUCCCGAGUGUACUGUUUGACGACGCUAUAAGCCAUAAUAGGUGAAUUAAACUCCUUGCCUCUCGUCAGGAUCGAUCUCUCACACACACACACACACACUCCACUGCGCUGAAUGGCUAGCUCCAUACAAUAGUCAGACGAUAGCUAGCAUAAUAUAUACAAAUAUGGCCAGCUAGUCAGUUCGAUCAGUCAUUAUCCUUUUCUAAGAAAGUUCCAUCAACAAAAACUCGCAUGACUAUAAGCUGUGGUGUUUUCCUUCCACUGACACACACACACACACACACACACACACACACACACACACACACGCACGCGCACGGUUGGGAUUUUUUUUAUUGGCUUACUGCUUUGAUCUCUCGCUAUAUGUAUGAGAGACAAUCAGUGCACAUGUGGGCGCGUGUAUACACACACACACACACACACACACACACACACAUACCAUCACGACCUUCUUGACCUCGGUCACAGAAACUAUAACAAUAAACUAUAAAUAACCCCUUACAAUAAACGUCUCACCUGUGUGUACACCUCAGAAUGUGUGUGUGUGUAUAUACACACACACUGACCUCAGUAAUGGACCCUUAAAACGAAUGUUCCUAUAAACUGUCACGCAGGUGCUGUGUGAGGACCGUGUGUGUGUUCACAUCUUGUGUCUGUGUGUUCGCAGGGACAGGCUGUGACGGACUGUCUGGGCCUCAUGCCGAAAUUUUAUUAUUAUUAUUUUCUUUUUUUACAAAACUUUGUGUAGCUAAGCAUCAAUUAUGUGCAGUAUUAAUCAUGUCAGUGGAAGGUCCUCAUAAGGAUAGUAAGCGUGUGUGUGUGUGUGUGUGUGUGUGUUAGUAAGAGUUUAUCCAGACAACACUGAUAUCUGAUGUUAUUUAUUGAUGUGUAUACUCACACACACCUGACGUUGAAGCUUUGAGGUGUAAAUCCAUGUGUUGUCUGACCCCUGCGUUCCGGCCAAUCAGAUCGUCCCGUUCGGCGUGAGCGCUCCACUCUCGGAUAUAAACACGUUUUUCACGCGUCUCUUUGAUCUUGACCGUGCUCCAUAAACAUGCGACUUAUUUUCGUAAUCAGCUUCGAAUAAUUAUCUCUAACUUCCUGUGGCGAGUUUACACAACAGUGUUGAUUGCUUCAUUUUUUUUUUUUUUAUGUUUAAAAUCUAUGCUUCGUCAUUUUCUUGUGGUUGGUUUAAAAGUAGGCGGGGCCAUGAGGGAAACGGUCCCACGUGCGAUAUAACCAUGUUUCAGAGGUCGAAACCAGAGCAGCGAUAAAUCGGUUGAACGCGCGUCGUGAUGACGUCACGUGACUCGGUAUAUUUUGAAAAAUCGCACGCUCCUCCGAAUAUCGCGUAAACAUCGAUACGACGGUUAUUGAUCAGCGCGUUAUUUUCUCGGUGUCUUUGAGACGUCGACGGUGUACGUUUAAAAACGUAUAAACUUGCGCUUCAUAGCAAUCCUUCGACCCCUAUGACCUUUCGCUAAUGUUAAAUGACGAAUUUCCUGUUUACGAGAUCGGACACGCCCACAACAGUGUUUUAUUUAUUUAUUUGUUUGUUUGUUUAUUUAUUCGGAGCGCAGUUAAAGUGUGUAUAUUCUACACCUUGGGUAUUAUUUGUAAGCUUCAAUAAAAGAAGUAGCUUUUGUCCUCCUGUGCCUAAAAAAAAUAAAAACGCAACUGGGACUGUAAAUGAGUGUGUUUAGCAGCCCGCCGUGCCUUACUUCAGACACUACCUCUACUCGGUGCCAGGUAAAGUAAAAUGGAUUGAUACGCCGCUGUUUAAUUGAAAAGAUAUGACACGGUGUUUCAAUUUUAUUCACGGUCCCACAUGUGAAAUACCGCAGGGUUCAACCGUUAUUACACGACACACAGAGAGAGAGAGAGAGAGAGAGAGAGAGAGAGAGAGAGCGAGAGAGCGCUUACGUGCUGAAACACUGAAAAGUGCUGCACUUCCUGGCUAAGGUAAAAAAGUAAGGAACCAAUCAGACAUUGUAGUGCUGCCGUAGACCCCCCGAGUGAGACACGCGAGUCUGACAUAGGCCACGCCUCCCGGCCGCUACAGCACGGCAGGGUUCUACAGUGAUUGUUUAAAUGAUUUUUUUAACAGCACGCCAGGGUGAGUCCUCUGAAACGUCGUGUCGUGGGAUGAUCUCGGCCAGGAGGCGGGGCGAAUAUUCUGUCUUGAGAAUGUGAUGUUAACACUGGAGUAGAGAGUGUCAGCGUUUUUACUCUUUCACAGGCUGUAACACACUGCAAACACACACACACACACACACACACACACACACACACACACACACACACACACACACUUCCCUGUUUCAGGGGCUUGAGAUUAAACUGCAGAGAGAACAUGCUGGUCCAGCGAACCAAUUCAUUUUCACACAGAGAGAGAGAGAGAGAGAGACAGACAGACAGACAGACAGAGAGAGGGAGAGAGACAGGGGGAGAGAGACAGACAGACAGACAGAGAGAGAGCGAGAGAGAGAGUCAGGUAGAUACAGGGGAGAGAGAGAGAGAGA
This is a long non-coding RNA of Ictalurus punctatus (channel catfish), 3253 nucleotides long. RefSeq lists it as uncharacterized. The transcript has 3 exons. Lineage: Eukaryota; Metazoa; Chordata; Actinopteri; Siluriformes; Ictaluridae. The record is from RefSeq and is a predicted model, not a curated record.